RNAcentral lists this long non-coding RNA (818 nucleotides) under Sorghum bicolor (sorghum). RNAcentral's name for it is "long non-coding RNA (SBIC_LNC004174)". The record is from RNAcentral. Lineage: Eukaryota; Viridiplantae; Streptophyta; Magnoliopsida; Poales; Poaceae.
GUUUAAACUUGAUUCUUGUCCCGAAAACAAAACAAGUACGCAGUGACAAAUUAAUAAUGUGAACCGUUCAUAACAAAGACCACAUAAGCCAUAUAUAGCUUAUUACACAACAGUAGAAGCAGCAUGCACAACAGGUUUACCACAACAAUUCAACAAACAUCACAUCACAUGUAGCAUUAUUCAUGCCUCAAGAACAUCACCACCACUACUACAACCAGUCAUCACCAACAGCUAAACACCAUAUGUCUCACAUAGACAGAACUAAUAAUGAAGCAAACAACAAAUGGAACACAUCCAGCUCUCCAAUAAUGCAUGCAGGUAACUAAAAGCAGUACUAGAACACGAGCUAUAGCUAGCUAGAACACAAGAACUGCUCGUAUGUAGCUAGGGGAAACCAAUGCAACCAACCAACCACGCAUGCAUGCACGCACGCACGCACGAUGACGACGACGACGACGACGUACUAUAGUAGCAUCACUCUACUACCACGCCGGCGACUGACGGAGUUCAGGGCUUGUUGGCGUGCUCGGGGACGGAGCCGGCGGUGGGGGAGCCGGGCAUGCCGCCGAAGCCGCUGAACGGGGAGCCGCCGCCGAAGAGGGGCAUGCUGCCGAUGCUGCCGCUGCCGGGCAGGAACCCAGGCAUGCUGCUGCCGCCGCUGCUCCCGGGCAGGCUGAACCCGGGAAUGCUGCUGCCAGGAAUGCUGCUGCCGGUGCCGGGGAGGCCGCCGAACGCCGGGGACGCGCCGCCGCCGAGGCGGUCGAAGGGCGGGAAGGUCUGCGGCUGCACCACCGCGUCGUUGUCCGCCUUCUUCUCCG